This 77-nucleotide transfer RNA is filed under the name Candidatus Terrybacteria bacterium RIFCSPLOWO2_01_FULL_40_23. Its description in RNAcentral is "tRNA-Glu". It matches the Rfam family "tRNA". From Rfam's summary of the family: Transfer RNA (tRNA) molecules are approximately 80 nucleotides in length. The record is from RNAcentral. Lineage: Bacteria; Candidatus Terryibacteriota.
GGCGCUAUCGUCUAGCGGUCUAGGAUAUCGGGUUUUCACCCCGGAGAUCGUGGGUUCGAAUCCCACUGGCGCUACCA